RNAcentral lists this unclassified non-coding RNA (392 nucleotides) under Hevea brasiliensis (rubber tree). The record is from RNAcentral. Lineage: Eukaryota; Viridiplantae; Streptophyta; Magnoliopsida; Malpighiales; Euphorbiaceae.
UAGGAGCAUACACGGUAGCCACCGGUGAGGGAGGUGGAUGGCAUGUAUGUGCCUGUGAAGACGUUCUUCUUCUCUACUUUCGAGACGUCGAAGAGGACGGGGAAGCUGGCUGCGUCGAGGACGGCGACGACGCGGGGGUUAGAGGCCAUGAAUGGGCCCGGGGGCAUGUUUGUGCGGAAGACGGUGGAGUUGUACUUCUGGAUGCGGGUGGUGAAGAAUGGUUCGUUGCCUUGGAAGUAGUAGAAGUCGAGGCGGUCCUUGAUGGGGGAGAGGAAGGGGAUGCCAUAGCUGCCGGGGAUUUGCUUGAUGGGGAGGGUGGAUUUAUGCUCGUCGGCGGUGGGGGCGUUUCCGGCGAAGAGUGGUUGGAUUUUGGAGUUCAUGGUUGGGUUAGG